Molecule: long non-coding RNA, 360 nt
Organism: Mauremys mutica (yellowpond turtle)
Lineage: Eukaryota; Metazoa; Chordata; Testudines; Geoemydidae
Exons: 3
Source: RefSeq, a predicted model, not a curated record
UUCUUUAACUAUUCCAUUGUCCCAUGGGUGCGGCCUGCACAGAUUAGCUGAUGGGGGGCUUGGGGCCCACGUCUCCCCUGAACCCCUUUGCGGCCCGACUGGAGGGGACUUGAUAUGGGGGAGCUACUGGACCGAGCGAGCUGGACCCCCGGGAACUGUGGCGCUUGGCAAAGGCGAUGGCCCCAUUCGGAGAGACGUGGCAGGGGCAACAGAACCCAGGAGCCCUGACUCUAACCACUAGCCCAUGCUCUCCCUCUGUCACAGCCCUCUAGGCGUACAGGUUCCCGUUCCGCCGCCACCACCUCCUCCUCCGCCGCCGCCGCCGCCUCCUCCGCUUGGAUUGGCUAUGAUCUGCCCUCC